ACGUAGGAGGCGAGCGUUAUCCGGAUUUACUGGGCGUAAAGCGCGUGCAGGCGGUUCAAUAAGUUGGAUGUGAAAGCUCCCGGCUAAACUGGGAGAGGACGUUUAAGACUGUUGGGCUAGAGGAUGAGAGACGGAAGUGGAAUGUCGUGUGUAGUGGUGAAAUGCGUAGAUAUGCGGCGGAACACCAGUGGCGAAGGCAGGUCACUGGAUUAUAACUGACGCUCAGGCGCGAAAGCUUGGGUAUCAAACGG
This 251-nucleotide ribosomal RNA is filed under the name uncultured prokaryote. Its description in RNAcentral is "partial 16S rRNA". It matches the Rfam family "Bacterial small subunit ribosomal RNA", at positions 525 to 775 of the family's 1533-position model. The record is from RNAcentral.